ACAGUGAUGGUUCAGGAGUAGAAUGCUCUACUGCCAUGCGGGAGACCUGGGUUCGAUUCCCAGUUAAUGUG
This 71-nucleotide transfer RNA is filed under the name Loxodonta africana (African savanna elephant). It matches the Rfam family "tRNA". Rfam says of the family: Transfer RNA (tRNA) molecules are approximately 80 nucleotides in length. Their secondary structure includes four short double-helical elements and three loops (D, anti-codon, and T loops). The record is from Rfam by way of RNAcentral. Lineage: Eukaryota; Metazoa; Chordata; Mammalia; Proboscidea; Elephantidae.